This 226-nucleotide ribosomal RNA is filed under the name uncultured bacterium. RNAcentral describes it as "partial 16S ribosomal RNA". It matches the Rfam family "Bacterial small subunit ribosomal RNA", at positions 114 to 334 of the family's 1533-position model. The record is from RNAcentral.
AACGUAGGUAACCUGCCCAUGUGUCCGGGAUAACUGCUGGAAACGGUAGCUAAAACCGGAUAGGUAUACAGAGCGCAUGCUCAGUAUAUUAAAGCGCCCAUCAAGGCGUGAACAUGGAUGGACCUGCGGCGCAUUAGCUAGUUGGUGAGUAACGGCCCACCAAGGCGAUGAUGCGUAGCCGGCCUGAGAGGGUAAACGGCCACAUUGGGACUGAGACACGGCCCAA